CUAUGCCUGGCUCCCUGUAUGCCAUAAGCGGCGCCCCUCCCGGAGUCGGAGGAAGGCCCUCCGUGGAUGGCGUAUGAGGAGCCGAGCAUAU
RNAcentral lists this microRNA precursor (91 nucleotides) under Genlisea aurea. RNAcentral describes it as "mir-160 microRNA precursor family". It matches the Rfam family "mir-160 microRNA precursor family". Rfam says of the family: The hairpin precursors (represented here) are predicted based on base pairing and cross-species conservation -- their extents are not known. In this case the mature sequence is excised from the 5' arm of the hairpin. Lineage: Eukaryota; Viridiplantae; Streptophyta; Magnoliopsida; Lamiales; Lentibulariaceae. The record is from Rfam by way of RNAcentral.